Molecule: long non-coding RNA, 647 nt
Organism: Diuraphis noxia (Russian wheat aphid)
Lineage: Eukaryota; Metazoa; Arthropoda; Insecta; Hemiptera; Aphididae
Gene: Inos
Source: RefSeq, a predicted model, not a curated record
AUUAAUAAUACUGUUAGAAGUUUCAUUUUUUUUUAUUUACAAGAAAUGGACUUUUCGGCUUUUUGCUUCACUAAAUGUUUUAAGUAUAUCUUCGUAAUUUAAAUUAUUUGCAAUUUUCGUUUCAAUGGACAAAACUGCUAAUGCUGAGAGUCUUUCUUGUGUCAUCGUAUUACUAUACCUAUUACCAGAAAAUCUUCCUGUGAAACAAAUUGUUGGCCACUUGUAGGGUGCGCACUGGUCUUCUGGGCAAUCCAAUCGAUAAUUUAUUAGAAUAUACAGGAUGAUUCACCAAACAUCUCAACAUCUCACAUUCUCACCCCUUUGUAUUCAUAAAUUAUUUAUGUAUAAAUUCCGGUUUUUAAUUGUUCAUUAUGGCAGAUAAAUCUCAAUGAUUAAUGACCUAAGAAUAUGAAAACGUCAAUGACACUACAAGUGGGUAAGUACUUGCAUCUGUAUUUGCUGUCUACAUCAACAAAAUAAAUAUCAGCUUGACAAUUUACAGUAAAAAAAUGUGUUUUUAUUGCCGCAGUUAACWAGCUAAGUAGUAAAGGUUUUUGAAAACAUGGUGUUUAAGACUUACAAAUUUUAAAAAAAAAAAGCAUAUAGUAUUUCAGUCAGCUUCUUAUACUUAAUACUUAUAAUCUAAG